UGAAAUUGAUCUCCCCGUGCAGAAGCGGGGAUAAUACCAUAAGACGAGAAGACCCUAUGGAGCUUUAGACGUCAGAGCAGCCCAUGUAAAGCACCCCUUAACAAAGGAAAAAACCAAAUGAAGCCUGCCCUAAUGUCUUUGGUUGGGGCGACCGCGGGGAAAUACAAAACCCCCAUGUGGAGUAGGAAUACACAUUCCUAAACCCAAGAGCUCCCGCUCUAAUGAACAGAAAUUCUGACCAAUAAGAUCCGGCACACGCCGAUCAACGGACCGAGUUACCCUAGGGAUAACAGCGCAAUCCCCUUAAAGAGCCCUUAUCGACAAGGGGGUUUACGACCUCGAUGUUGGAUCAGGACAUCCUAAUGGUGCAGCCGCUAUUAAGGG
RNAcentral lists this ribosomal RNA (384 nucleotides) under Pagrus major (red seabream). RNAcentral describes it as "partial 16S ribosomal RNA". It matches the Rfam family "Bacterial large subunit ribosomal RNA", at positions 2037 to 2571 of the family's 2925-position model. The record is from RNAcentral. Lineage: Eukaryota; Metazoa; Chordata; Actinopteri; Spariformes; Sparidae.